GGCAGCAGGCAGAGGAGCAGGGGAUGGGUGGACAAAUUAGGAUCCAGAGAGUGGCCGGGCCCACAGAGCAGAGGGCCACGGACAUCAGGUCUGUUCUCAGAGUGAUGGGCCACGGAGACUGAUCUGCCUCCAUGAUUGGAGGCUUAUUCAUCUAUAAUCACAAGGGGGAGGUGCUCAUCUCCCCAGUCUACCGAGAUGACAUCCAGAGGAAUGCCAUGGACGCCUUUUGCAUCAAUGUUAUCCAUGCCCGGCAGCAGGUGCACAGCCCCAUCACCAACAUUGCUCACACCAGCUUCUUCCAUGUCAAGCGAUCCAACAUCUGGCUGGCAGCAGUCACCAAGCAGAACGUCAAUGCUGCCAUAGUCUUUGAAUUCCUCUAUAAGAUGUGUGACGUGAUGGCUGCCUACUUUAGCAAGAUCAGCCAGGAAAACAUCAAGAAAAAUUUUGUGCUCAUAUAUGAGCUGCUGGAUGAGAUUCUAGACUUUGGCUACCCACAGAAUUCCGAGACAGGCAUGCUGAAAACCUUCAUCACCCAGCACGGCAUCAAGAGUCAGUAUCAGACAAAAGAAGAGCAGUCACAGAUCACCAACCAGGUGACUGGGCAGAUCGGCUGGUGGCGAGAGGGUAUCAGGUAUCGCCAGAAUGAGCUCUUCCUGGAUGUGCUGGAGAGUGUGAAUCUGCUCAUGUCCCCAUAAGGGCAGGUGCUGAGUGCCCAUGUGUCGGGCCAGGUGGUGAUGAAGAGCAACCUGAGUGGGAUGCCCGAAUGUAAGUUUGGGAUGAAUGACAAGAUCGUCAUUGAAAAACAAGGCAAAGACACAGCUGAUGAAACAAGCAAGAGCAGGAAGCAAUCAAUUGCCAUUGAUGACUGCACCUUCCACCAGUGUGUGUGACUCAGCAAGUUUGACUCUGAACGCAGCAUCAGCUUUAUCCUGCCAGAUGCAGUGUUUGAGCUUAUGAGGUAUCACACAACCAAUGAUAUCAUCUUUCCCUUCCGGGUCAUCACUCUAGUGUGAGAAGUGGGAUGCACCAAACUGGAGAUCAAGGUGGUCAUCAAGUUCAACUGUAAACCCUCACUGCUGGCUCAGAAGACUGAGGUGAGGAUCCCAAUCCCCCUGAACACAAGUGGGGUGUAGGUGAUCUGCAUGAAGGAGAAGGCCAAGUACAAGGCCAGCAAGAACGCCAUUGUAUAGAAGAUCAAACGCAUGGCAGGUAUGAAGGAAUCACAGAUCAGCACAGAGAUUGAGCUUCUGCCUACCAACGUCAAGAAGAAAUGGGCUCGACCCCUCAUUUCCAUGAACUCUGAGGUGACAUUUGCAUCCUCUGGCCUCAAGGUGCACUACUUGAAGGUGUUUUAACUGAAGCUGAACUACAGUGACCAUGAUGUCAUCAAAUGGGUGCGCUACAUUGGCUGCAGUGGCAUUUAUGAAACUCGCUGCUAGCUGCCACUAGGCAGCUGGCCCACCUCCCCACCCACGCUCUUCCACAGGUCCAGGUGCCACUCCCUCCUCGCCA
RNA transcript from Sapajus apella (tufted capuchin), 1512 nucleotides. It is a transcript of the gene named AP-2 complex subunit mu pseudogene, with no coding region annotated. NCBI's taxonomy places the organism in Eukaryota, Metazoa, Chordata, Mammalia, Primates, Cebidae. The transcript has a single exon. The record is from RefSeq and is a predicted model, not a curated record.